This is a non-coding RNA of Triticum aestivum (bread wheat), 134 nucleotides long. The record is from Rfam. NCBI's taxonomy places the organism in Eukaryota, Viridiplantae, Streptophyta, Magnoliopsida, Poales, Poaceae.
CAAGUACUCCCUCCGUCCGAAAAUACUUGUCAUCAAAAUGGAUAAAAAAGAUGUAUCUAGAACUAAUAUACAUCUAGAUACAUCCCCUUUUAUUCAUUUUGAUGACAAGUAUUUCCGGACGGAGGGAGUACUAC